This 6921-nucleotide long non-coding RNA is filed under the name Triticum aestivum (bread wheat). RNAcentral describes it as "long non-coding RNA (TAES_LNC009924)". The record is from RNAcentral. Lineage: Eukaryota; Viridiplantae; Streptophyta; Magnoliopsida; Poales; Poaceae.
CUCCUGCAUGGCUUCACCUGGACCAAACCGGCUCGGGUGUCGACCAUCAAUCUCAGCGAGUCCAAGCACGACCUCUUCAUAGAGAAGCCGUUAGUGCUACAUGCUGAGCCACGUCUUCCAGUGCACCUCUACCCUCUCAUGCAUUGUUGAGCAAAUAACGAGCUAUGAAUCAUCGAUAUGGCGAGUAUGCUAGCUAUUUUUUGAUGAAUCUAUAUUUACUAAUAAAGGAAGGAAAUAUUCUUUUUUUCAUCCCGCUUUGUUUCGUUCCACUUCGAUUGAUUUUCACAUAUGCUAGCUAUUUUGGUUUUGUCUGUUUCACGUACGAGCGAGCCGGUUUCUUUCAUGCACCGCUGGAUCGUCCUAGGCUUGUCCAAAGCAUUGGAACAUUACGUGAUAGGCAAAAAACCACCCAUCUAGUAUUAAUUUUGAACAAAUAGAGAUUAAAUGUAUACAGGAUGAUGCUCUUUACAUCACCAACGAAAUAAAGACAUGAUUAAACUUGCAAACUCAUGCUGAUGUGGAUGGUGCAUAAUAAAAGGACUCGUGGGCUAAAUCAUUAUAAUUUACACCAAAGGCGAGAAGCAGAUGAGUGGGGUAGACCGAGGAGGCAUUUAAGGACGAGGAGGAACUCGCAAUUUCCACACUUAGCGCAUACGAACAGCUCGUCGCCACACUCACGAAACAUGAAAUCGUGGGUGAUGACACGCCGAGGUGUCCACCAAAGCCCUUGCCACCAGGGAGCUACCUCUCUCUCUAGGGAUCUUUUAUUUCUUGCAAUUAAUUUUGUUGAUAAAGACUAAUAUUUGUCCCGCGUUGCAACACACAGUCAUAUGUUCUAGUAAAUCAAAAGGAAAAAAGAAAGCUGAAAUAAAAAUCAAAAAUAAAAACCUCAAGGAAAAAAACCCAACAAAAAGCCCAAGAAAUACAGGAAUGGAAUCAAGCCAUGGAAGAAAAAACCAAAAAAUCGGCACAACAAAAGUCGAACCAAAUACAACGAAAGCAACAGAAUAAAAAGGGAGCAACUAGUUGACGAGGGCUCCUUCGGGAGCCUCACAACGAUCAGCGCCACUUGGCGCGCUUUAAGCCUCCUCGCCACGUGUCGUAGUAUUUUAAUUUUUUUGCAUGCGUUUUUGGCUUUUUAAAUGUUUUUUGUGGUUUUUUUACGUUUUGGUUUACCACAGCUUUUAGGCCAAAAAAAUCAAAAUUGCGCGAAAAAGAGUGUUUUUUUUCUUCGGCGAAAGGCAUGGUUUUGCUUCCGCGAGAGGCACGAUUGUGCUUCCGCGAGAGGCACGGUUUUGCUCCCGCGAGAGGCACGGUUGUGCUUUUGUGAGAGGCACAGUUUUUCUUCCACGAGAGGCACGGUUGUGCUUUCGUGAGAGGCACGGCCGUGCCUCUCGAAAACGAAAAAAACGCGUUUUUUUUCCUUCCGCGAGAGGCACGAUUUUGCUUCCGCAAGAGACACGGUUGUGAUUUUGCGAGAGGCACGGUCGUGCCUCUUUAGAAAAGGAAAAAUGCAUUUUUUGUUUUUUCCUUCUGUGAGAGGCACGAUUUUGCUUCCACGAGAGGCACGGUUGUGAUUCCACUAGAGGCACGACCAUGCCUCUUUCAAAAAGCGAAAAAAACCAUGCUCCUAGUUCGGUUUUUACAUCCAAUUUUUUCAUGAAAAAAAGUUCGUUAAAACCUAUCAACAUGGUAUCUAGUUUUUAAGAUCUCGACACGAGGAAUCGAAUGGUGAAAAUGUUUUGAGAUUUGGACACAUGGUUUAAGAGAUAAAAUGUUUUGAAUAAACGGAUCUACGAAAAAAAGAGAAAACUCACAUGUUGUGACAAAUGAUGCGUGCCAGUUGUCACAACUUGACACGAUAAACUAAAUUGGCAUUAAUGAUAGAGAUAGGGCAAGUGUCAUGUCUUUAUGUUCCUUCCAUGUUCAUGCUUCUUUUUUGGUGUUUCAAGUGCUAACUUGUUCUUUUGUUUGUAGGUCACAAUUGCAUAAAACUUAUUUCAAGGAGAAGAGAAGAAGACCAAGAAAGGGAAGGUCAAGAAAGGGAUACCAUUUGUGUUGGCCCAUUGCUACAAUGUGUUGAAGGAUGAAGAGAAAUGGAAGCCCCGUGAUGACCAAGAGGAGGGCAAGAAAAGCAAGGCAACUAUUGAUUUGGAUGAUGAUGAUGAGGAGGAGGCAUCAAGUGAUGGCGGCAAGAGAAGACCUACACCAAACUCGGUUGCCUACUCCAAACCAAAGAGACCAAAUGGAGGCAAGAAGAAGAAGAAGAAGAAGAAGAGAGGAGGUGAUGAUUUAAAGAAUGCUAUGGAAGCUAUUGUGAAGGCACAAUAGGAAGCAAACAAGGUGAAGAUGAUGACAAGGAGCCAAGAUGCGGAGGUGGCUGCCGAGGAGAGGAGGGUGGCUGCCGAGGAGAGGAAGGUGGCAUUGGAGGAGAAGAAAUUGGCCAUGGAGGAGCGAUCUAGAUUAUUGAAAUGGGAGAAGCACUUGUUCUUCAUGGACACAUCUAAACUCGAUGAUAGGCAAAAGGAGUACGUCAUUCUUUCCCCUGAAGAAGUCUUAGUCCAAAAAAGAGACAUGGCCAUGGAAGGCAUGGGAGCUACCAAUGGGAGGCAUGGGUGGCUUCGGAGCUACCAUGGAAGGCAUGGGAGCACCUAUGUGAGGCAUGGGUGGCUUCGGAGCUACCAUGGGCGGCUGGGAGGCAUGGGUGGCUUCGGAGCUAUCAUGGGAGGCACGGGUGGCUUCAGAGCUACCAUAGAAGGCAUGAGUUUUGGGUCUCUCGUGUGAGGCAUGUGAGCAACUCCGGGUGACAUAGGUGGACGCAUGUCUUCCUGUGUGCCUCACAUACCUUCUCAUUAUCCCGUUGGAGAUCUUAUGAACACCAUCCGAGCUCUGGAUGACGAUGCGACGCUCGAAAAUGAAGAGGAGGAAGAAUCGUUUUCGGAUGAGGAGGAAUAACCAGAGGGAGAAGAGGACGAUGAUGAGUGAUGUGGCAUGAUUGUUGAUGUGCCAUUUGUUUGUGCAAACUUUUAUUUGUCAUGAACUUGGUUGGGUGAUUUUGAACUAUGCCGUGUAAGUGAACUAUGCUAUGUCUUUGUUUUGCAUAUUUGUUUAAUGUUUGAAACAUCACCAUAUUGUCAAAUGUACAUGUGAAAAUCAUAUUUGCAAGCCUCGGCUGCUCGUGCGCUUUGUAAAUUAGCGCGCCUUCUGAAGCUGCUCGCGCGUGCCAUAUUUUACUGCGGCUGCUUGAGCCAGCGCCCUACUUCAUGCAAAAAAACACUAUUUUGACGUUGUAAAAAAGUUUUUGCGCGUCGUGCGGUUGCGCACCUGUUAGAGAUGCUCUUAGAAUCGUGUUUUUACGGCGCCUAUGUGAUGCCCUAUUUUGCAAGAACUUGGUGUUGCGGUCGCCCCUCUGGCCGCUGCAUCACUUCUUCCCUGUCGUAGAGCUCAUGCAGGUCUUUUUCAAGCCACACCGAACCGAAAUCAGUACGUACGUGCCGAGUUCUGCAUGUGCUUGGACACAUCUUUUAACCUGCUACAAGGAGGCCCAUGAGCCCACUGUUCCUUGCGUCGUGCAUGCAUGUCCCAUGCAUGAUGUAGCAGCGGGAUCCUAUACAGCACGUAGGUCGCUGCUAGCAACAUAGCAUGCAACCCCCCCUCCCCUGGCCGGGCUCCCCGUUCAGCGUAUCUGCCGGUCCGUUUGCGGUUUAUUUUGCCACCGGUUUUCAGAAGGUUCCAGAACAUUUCCAGAACCGUUUUUUUAUGUCUUCUAUACUGUUUUUUCGUUUUUCUUUUCUUUUAAUUUUUUUUUGAAUUUGGUUAACAUUUUUUAAUUCCGUCAGCAUUUAUCAUGUCGUGAACAUUUUUUUUCAAAUCAUCAACAAUUUUUGAAUUCACCAACAUUUCACAAGUUGUAACUAUAUUGAAAUCCUGAAUUAGCCUUACAAUGGAAAACAAUUUAAAAAAAGCAAAAAAAAAAACUAGAUGCUUCCGCUUUCCCUACACACACAUGGGCCAGCCCAUGAGUCGGCGCGGGGGAGCGGGGGUUACGCGCUACGUCUUUCGCUGGCGCGUACAGCGCUAAAUGGGAUGUCUCGGUGUAGCAUCUCAUUGAAUCCCGGAUGCAUGGUCCGACCAUCUCUUCAAACCGAAAGCUGCCCAUAUGGUCCAUCAUCCUGGCGUCUGAAAUACUUUUGGAAAGACAAUUAUGGUUAGUUUUCGGAUAAGUACUCUCGAUAAUCUACAAAUAGGAGAUGUUUUAUUGUAUUUUGAUUACUUUUGGAUAGACAAUCAUUACUAUUAAUAUCAUCCUUCGUAUCUAGAUAAAGUAAGACAAUCUAUAAAUAGAAGAUUUUUUAUUCUGUUUUGUUAAGUUUGGAUAGACAAUUAUUAUUAGUAUUAGCCUUGGUAUCUAGAUAAAUAUAAGGCAAUCUAUAAAUAGAAGUUUUUUAUUCUGUUUUGACUACGUUUGGAUAAACAAUUAUUAUUAUUAGUAUCAUCCUUCGUAUCUAAAUAAAUAUAAGACAAUCUACAAACAGAAGAAUUUUCAUUCUGUAGACAAUUAUUAUUAUUAUUAGUUCAGGAUAAAUACAUAUGAAAUGCCGUGUGAUAAAUGUGGUAAACGAUCGAUCCACACAUGAGGAAUAUAUCUAGACAUGUUUUAGUGUUAGAUACGUAAAUACCUUCGUAUUUAAUAAGUCUAAGCCAAUUUUUUGGGACGGAGGUAACAUAUAAAGAGGGGUCUUGCCCUCAUGGGCAGAGCAGCACGGAGAGCAAAGUUGGCUUCCCUACGCAACGAUAACAAGGGUAGCUACCUCGCAAACCUGUGUGCACUCUGCAAGCAGCAGUCUCCAAAAUGCUGGCUUGCUGCUGCUUGGUUGUGUCCCAGCUGCUCAUCGUAAUAACACUCAUAUACCUUGUCAUUACCAAGAGCAAGGUCCGCUGUGACACGUGCUCAUCAGCGACGGUGCCGCUUCCACUUCCGCCGGGGCCAUGUCCGUGGCCAGUGGUGGGUAACCUGCCCGAGAUGGUGGUCAACAAGCCGGCAUUCCGUUGGAUCCAUCGCGUGAUGAAGGAUAUGGGCACCGACAUCGCCUGCUUCCGCCUCGGCGGCGUCCACGUCGUCCCGAUCACAUGUCCCAAGAUCGCAAGGGAGGUGCUCAAGAAGCAGGACAAAAACUUCUCGUCCCGCCCACUCACCUUCGCCUCCGGCGUCAUCAGCAGCGGGUACAAGGACGCCGUGCUCUCGCCGUUCGGUGACCAGUGGAUGAAGAUGCGCAAGGUGCUCACCUCUGAGAUCAUCUGCCCCUCCCGUCACAAGUGGCUCCACGACAAGCGCGCCGAUGAAGCUGACAACUUGACGCGCUACAUCUACAACCUCACUGCCGGGGGGUUGUCAUCUUCAACGUCGGGACUAGCCAACGUCAAUGUCAGGCACGUCGCGCGGCAUUACUGCGGCAACAUCAUCCGCCGGCUUGUCUUCGGCCAACGGUACUUCGGGGAGCCUCAGCCGGACGGCGGGCCGGGGCCAAUGGAGGUGGAGCACAUGGACGCUUCCUUCGCCCUCCUAGGGUUCACCUUCACGUUCUGCGUCAGCGACUACCUCCCGUGUCUACUUGGCCUAGAUCUCGACGGCCACGAGAAAAUUAUUAAGGAGGCCAACACAAAAGUGGAUAGACUGCACGACGUGGUCAUCGAAGAGCGUUGGAGGCAGUGGAACAGCGGCGAGAGGCAGGACGGGGUCCAGGACUUCCUUGACGUUCUCAUCACGCUCGCCGACGGUGACGGCAAGCCGUUGCUCAGCAUCGAUGAGGUCAAAGCACAAUCCAAGGUAAGCAAAAUAUUAAUUAAUGAGAAAUUUUAAGAUGGUUCAAGGGCCUAGAUUGAAUUUAGUACCCAAUUGCCUCAUAGUCCUACAAGGUACUAAUACGUCAUCCAUGAGAAAAGGUAAUAGCUCACACUAUUAAAUACUAGAUCUUAUACCGUAUUUCGCAGGUGUUAGAAAAUGGAAACAAUAGAAUAAGAAAUUAUGAAUUAAUAGUUUAAACAUACCAUUAUUGUAAUUUUCUACCAUUUUGAUGUGAUUUCAACUUAAAUUUUAUUUAAAUUUCCAAUUAUUCAAUGUAAUCUCUCUUUAUGCAAAGGUAUAAAUUGUAAUAACUUACAUUUAUCUCCAUGGAAUGCAUGCAGGGCAUAAUAUUAGCGGCCAUUGAUAACCCGUCAAACGCAGUGGAGUGGGCACUGGCGGAGAUGGUGAACAACCCAGAAUUGCUGGCCAAGGCGGUGGAGGAAAUGGACCGGGUGGUCGGUCACGAGCGACUGGUGCAAGAGUCGGACAUCAUGCAGCUCAACUAUCUCAAGGCAUGCAUACGUGAGGCAUUCCGCCUCCACCCAAUCGCUCCCUUCAACCUGCCGCACGUCGCGAUUGCCGACACCAUUGUUGCGGGCUACCACGUGCCCAAGGGUAGCAACGUCAUCCUCAGCCGGCUGGCCCUGGGCCGGAACCCCACCGUCUGGGAUGAACCGCUCCGCUUCAAGCCGGAGCGCCAUAUGGGAGACAACAUCAAUGUGGUGCUUACUGAGAGCGAAUUGCGGUUCAUCUCCUUCAGCACCGGACGACGGGGAUGCAUCGCGGCAUCACUAGGAACAACCAUGAGUGUCAUGCUCUUUGGCAGGCUCCUGCAUGGCUUCACCUGGACCAAACCGGCUGGGGUGUCGGCCAUCAAUCUCAGCGAGUCCAAGCGCAACCUCUUUAUAGAGAAGCCGCUAGUGCUACAUGCUGAGCCACGUCUUCCAGUGCACCUCUACCCUCUCAUGCAUUGUUGAGCAAAUAACGAGCUAUGAAUCACCGAUAUGGCGAGUAUGCUAGCUAUUUUUUUGAUGAAUCUAUAUUUACUAAUAAAGGAAGGAAAUAUUCUUUUUUUC